CAGCCGCCGCGGUAUUACAGAGGGUGCGAGCGUUAAUCGGAUUUACUGGGCGUAAAGCGUGCGUAGGCGGCUUUUUAAGUCGGAUGUGAAAUCCCUGAGCUUAACUUAGGAAUUGCAUUCGAUACUGGGAAGCUAGAGUAUGGGAGAGGAUGGUAGAAUUCCAGGUGUAGCGGUGAAAUGCGUAGAGAUCUGGAGGAAUACCGAUGGCGAAGGCAGCCAUCUGGCCUAAUACUGACGCUGAGGUACGAAAGCAUGGGGAGCAAACAGGAUUAGAGACCCCGGUAGUCCCUGUCUCUUAUAC
This 301-nucleotide ribosomal RNA is filed under the name uncultured bacterium. RNAcentral's name for it is "partial 16S ribosomal RNA". It matches the Rfam family "Bacterial small subunit ribosomal RNA", at positions 509 to 807 of the family's 1533-position model. The record is from RNAcentral.